CUCAUUAAAAGAGUGCGUAAUAGCUCACUGGUCGAGUGACUCUGCGCCGAAAAUUUAACGGGGCUAAACUAUACACCGAAGCUUGGGAUACAUCUAAUGUAUGGUAGGAGAGCGUUCUGUAUGGGGAGAAGUCGUAGCGAAAGCGGCGGUGGACUAUACAGAAGUGAGAAUGCCGGAAUAAGUAGCGAGAAUUAAGUGAGAAUCUUAAUGGCCGAAAGUCUAAGGUUUUUGGAGGAAGGUUCGUCCGCUCCAAGUAAGUCGGGAGCUAAGGUCAGGCCGAAAGGCGUAGCCGAUGCACAUACGGUUGAUAUUCCGUAACCAUCUGUAAUUUAAGCAAAGGGACACUUCAAAAGGGUGUGACCCGGGCGUUGGUUGACCCGGGCGUAAGGGACCGAAAUUAGAGUAGGGAAGCACACUUAGCUGAAGGCGAGAAAAGCUUUGCGUAUAGAAACAGAUGCCCGUACCGCAAACCGACACAGGUGGACAGGAAGAGAAUUCUAAGGCCAGCGGGAGAAGGGUAGUUAAGGAACUCGGCAAAUUGACUCCGUAACUUCGGAAUAAGGAGUGCUCGAAAGAGCCGCAGAGAAUAGGCCCAGGCGACUGUUUAGCAAAAACACAGGUCUCUGCCAAAUCGAAAGAUGAAGUAUAGGGGCUGACACCUGCCCGGUGCCGGAAGGUUAAGAGGAGGAGUGAGAGCUCCGAAUUGAAGCCCCGGUAAACGGCGGCCGUAACUAUAACGGUCCUAAGGUAGCGAAAUUCCUUGUCGGGUAAGUUCCGACCCGCACGAAUGGUGUAACGAUCUGGGCACUGUCUCAACUACCCACCCGGCGAAAUUGUAGUACCGGUGAAGAUGCCGGUUACCUGCGGCAAGACGGAAAGACCCCAUGGAGCUUUACUGUAGCCUGAUAUUGGGUUUCGGAAAUCUAUGUACAGGAUAGGCGGGAGACUGGGAAACAUGAGCGUCAGCUUGUGUGGAGUCGAUGUUGGGAUACCGCCCUUAGGUUUCUGGAAUUCUAACCUGCGGCCGUGAAUCCGGUCGGGGGACAUUGUCAGGUGGGCAGUUUGACUGGGGCGGUCGCCUCCGAAAAGGUAACGGAGGCGCUCAAAGGUUAGCUCAGCACGGACGGAAACCGUGCCUCUGAGUGUAAACGCAAAAGCUAGCCUAACUGCGAGGGUGACGGCCCGAGCAGUAACGAAAGUUGGAGUUAGUGAUCCGGCGGUAUGUGAAUGGAAAUGCC
This 1238-nucleotide ribosomal RNA is filed under the name human gut metagenome. RNAcentral describes it as "bacterial LSU rRNA". It matches the Rfam family "Bacterial large subunit ribosomal RNA", at positions 1118 to 2443 of the family's 2925-position model. The record is from RNAcentral.